UUUCCGUAGGUGAACCUGCGGAAGGAUCAUUAUUGAAACUUCAUCCGGGGCGCCGCGGCCCUCAGAACCGGUGGAAACGUCGCGUUGCGGGCGCCGCGCGUACACUCGUCUAAACCAAACCACUGUGCACCUUACGGGAUGGCUUGGGUUAGCGCCCGGUGCCGCUCCCGUUUCUACAAACACUUAUCAAAAAAUGAACUGAAGGCGGCUUGACCCCUGGAUAACCAAACUGCAACAACUUUCAACAACGGAUCUCUUGGCUCUAGCAGCGAUGAAGAA
This 279-nucleotide unclassified non-coding RNA is filed under the name plant metagenome. Its description in RNAcentral is "partial contains small subunit ribosomal RNA, internal transcribed spacer 1, and 5.8S ribosomal RNA". The record is from RNAcentral.